RNAcentral lists this transfer RNA (126 nucleotides) under Baudoinia panamericana UAMH 10762. RNAcentral's name for it is "tRNA-Asp (GTC) (tRNA-Asp-GTC-1-1)". The stretch from base 59 to 126 matches the Rfam family "tRNA". Rfam says of the family: Transfer RNA (tRNA) molecules are approximately 80 nucleotides in length. Their secondary structure includes four short double-helical elements and three loops (D, anti-codon, and T loops). Lineage: Eukaryota; Fungi; Ascomycota; Dothideomycetes; Mycosphaerellales; Teratosphaeriaceae. The record is from RNAcentral.
UCUUCAUUGGUCUAGUUGGUCACAUGAUAUCUAUCAGUUAUUGAACGAAUUCUAAUACCCUUCGUUAGGUGGUCAUGAUUUCCGCUUGUCACGCGGGAGACCUGGGUUCGAUUCCCAGAUGGAGAG